This 494-nucleotide ribosomal RNA is filed under the name uncultured bacterium. RNAcentral's name for it is "partial 16S ribosomal RNA". It matches the Rfam family "Bacterial small subunit ribosomal RNA", at positions 28 to 506 of the family's 1533-position model. The record is from RNAcentral.
GACGAACGCUGGCGGCGUGCCUAAUACAUGCAAGUAGAACGCUGAAGGAGGAGCUUGCUUCUCUGGAUGAGUUGCGAACGGGUGAGUAACGCGUAGGUAACCUGCCUGGUAGCGGGGGAUAACUAUUGGAAACGAUAGCUAAUACCGCAUAAGAGUAGAUGUUGCAUGACAUUUGCUUAAAAGGUGCAAUUGCAUCACUACCAGAUGGACCUGCGUUGUAUUAGCUAGUUGGUGGGGUAACGGCUUACCAAGUCGACGAUACAUAGCCGACCUUAGAGGGUGAUCGGCCACACUGGGACUGAGACACGGCCCAGACUCCUACGGGAGGCAGCAGUAGGGAAUCUUCGGCAAUGGACGGAAGUCUGACCGAGCAACGCCGCGUGAGUGAAGAAGGUUUUCGGAUCGUAAAGCUCUGUUGUAAGAGAAGAACGAGUGUGAGAGUGGAAAGUGCACACUGUGACGGUAUCUUACCAGAAAGGGACGGCUAACUACGU